UACGGAGGGGGCUAGCGUUGUUCGGAAUUACUGGGCGUAAAGCGCACGUAGGCGGCUUUGCAAGUUAGAGGUGAAAUCCCUCGGCUCAACUGAGGAAUGGCACGGGAAACUGACGGGCUUGAGUUCGGGAGAGGGAAGCGGAAUUCCGGGUGUAGCGGUGAAAUGCGUAGAUAUCCGGAGGAACACCGGUGGCGAAGGCGGCUUCCUGGACCGACACUGACGCUGAGGCGCGAAAGCUAGGGGAGCAAACGGG
This 253-nucleotide ribosomal RNA is filed under the name uncultured bacterium. RNAcentral's name for it is "partial 16S ribosomal RNA". It matches the Rfam family "Bacterial small subunit ribosomal RNA", at positions 524 to 776 of the family's 1533-position model. The record is from RNAcentral.